This is a long non-coding RNA of Dicentrarchus labrax (European seabass), 2784 nucleotides long. The record is from Ensembl. Lineage: Eukaryota; Metazoa; Chordata; Actinopteri; Moronidae.
AUGAAUCUGUUUGUGAUCAGUGAACCAUCUUUUGUUGUAAAAAAGUUAAUCUUAUUUAGAUUUGAAGUAUCCCGGUUUGUUUUCUUUUAUUCUUUGCGCUUACAGGGUUUACUAUACGUUACAGGUGACGUGAUGCCUCAGAAUGAUAUGAACUAUGAGGGCAGAAGAAGAGGAAUGCGUUACGGUGCCUGUAAAGCCAACGGCCAGGUCAGCGGUCACGUCCCACACAGAGCUGUGGUUAAUGGAGCCGUUGUUGACGUCGGCUCCCCGGAUGCUACCGCCAGAACCAGCAAGAGGACACCAGCUGGCCCACUGAAUGGUGCCAAACCACAAUGCAUGGUUAAUGGUUAUAUUAACCAUGGGUGCAAGGGCAAGAGUGUGAAAGCACCGCCGCCAAGGACACUCAGGAAACAAGGAAGCACAAAUUCAGCUGUCACUGAUGCCUCAGCAGCUCGCUGUGUCAGUAGUGCAGGCAUUCCACGUAGUAUCGCAGUGAAUGGGGACACCAGUCUAGACGCUGUUGCUUUGCCCUCUAAUUCUGACCAAAAGGCACCAGAGCCCAGCCCGUCUGCAGCAGCUAAGAAGCCGAGAAGAUGGAAGAAAUUCCUACCUAAAAUGAGAACAUACAGAACAGAGGACAACCAACAGGAUCAUUGUAGAGCCUCAACAAUGCCACCACAAGAGGAGGAGGACUGGGAAAAGGAGAUCCAAGAGGUCACACUGACUGACUGGGAGAAGAUGUGUUUUGGCAACCUACCAUAUGGUCCAGAAGAUUUGCUCCAUUUUUCUCUGCGGGAUUUGACACUUAAGCAAAGGGACACAGGUUACCUGCCGGUGACAGCCAAUUACAGCCCAACCGUACACCACCCACGCCCUGUCCGAUGGUCCUCCUACAACAUGCCCACUGUGCCAGAGCAGUUCGCAGACGCUGACGAGUAAGCCGGACAUAUGCUGUGAGGGGAUUGGUAGAAAUCAGUGAUCACAUACCAACAUUACUAAGGAGUUCUGUUGUAAAUGUAGUUAGCCCAUAUUGUUAGAUUUUCCAAUUUCGGGGAAUCUGGAUAGUAACCAUGCUCAGAUUAUUUGUUUAGUCAGUGUCUGUCUUUUUUUCCCCCUCAUCUAAAACGUUAGUGGAAGAAAUUAAACUUACUCUAGUUUAGCAUCAAAAUCAAAUGCUGUUAAUGCUGUCACGGGUCAGAGAGUGUAGGGUGGAUUCUAGGUUGCAGUGAGGUUAUUUUUUAUUAUUGUAGGUUUUAUUUUAUCAUUUAUAUUGAGAUUUUAGAUUUGUUUUAUAUCGCGUCAUAUUAAUUUGUUAAGCUUCUAUGAUCUUAAGGAAUGAUUUUAGCUAGCUCUCAUACUUUGCUGUUGUACCCUCUUUAGUGACUGUUGUUACUGAGUAUGGUCAUGCAUUUGCUGUUCUUCCAUUUAAUAUCUUCAUAAUUUUGCUAGUCUUCCAAGAACUGAAAUAAUAAUUUUUAUCUAAAGGUUUUUUGUGUUUUUAAAAUGCCUGAAAUGGGAACACUGUUGUCAUAAUAAGUUGCUCUUUCGAGCUAUGCGAUCAACUUUAUUGUUUAUAAAUUGCACAUUGUUCACAGCAAAUGAAGUAACUAUUUUAAUUUUGGGCAGCCAGCCUACCUGAGAAAUUAUGGUUUAAUUAUGUAAAAACAGCAAAUCGUUAUCUGCUUGUUCAGACCUUCAUUUUCACAACCACAAUAAAUCCAAUUUUCUUCUACCUUGUGGUCAAAUCGUGCAUGUUUAUCUCCACUAGUGGCUCCUCCAGUUAAAAUGAGCCUCAACGGUGUAGCUGGGCUGUUUUGAGUCCCAUUUUACAACAUAAACCAACAUAUUUGCUCAUUUUGCCUAGUUUAAUCUUUUCUUUUUUAGAAGUGAUGACAACUUUUGGCCACUAGAUGGGAGAGUUGGUGUAUUCCACACGCUUAUGGGAGUUCAAUGGGUUCAUUCCCAAGGACUUGGGAGACACAAGCACUUGCUUGCAUACUGUUCAAACCUCAUUUCUCCCUGGAGUUUUAUUCAGAAUGCAACUGAAGAUGGAGGCAACUGUCACUAAGCUGAUUAAUGUCAUCUAAUAAUUCUAAACCAUUCACAGACACCAUGUCAAUAAUAGAUUGUGGUCAUAAUCUCUCUAAAGUCGUGUUCUCUGAUGAGACUUUGCAGUUGAAUUUUAGGAAGAGCUCUGGGUUUGCUUUCUUUUUUCAAGCAAAGUAUGCAACAUCAGAUCCAUCACUAUCAAAGAAAUGAAGUAGCGUUUGAUGUUCCCCAGCCCUGUGAGUUUCACUGUUGAUGUUGAGGGAAAAAGUGACUGGAGGAGUGGUGUUGAUAGGGAAAGCUUGUGAUAUCGUUGUACUUUUCUGUUAUUUGUCGAGACUGCUGGAAGCUGGGGACUGAAUGGUCACUGAGUACCUUGUGUGUACCAUUGAACUGUUCAUAGGUGUUUCAGACAGUUAAAAAUGGAGAAAAUACCACGAUGUGUCUCAGUCAUUACCACUAUUCAAUCAUAGCAAGAAGUUGGAGUUUACAUGUCCUGUGUUUCUGUCUGAAGACAUGGAGGUUGGAUGCAGUGAAAAUACUGUGUGAAUGUGAAUGCAUUUCUUUGUCUGUUUAUUAUGUCCUUAAUGAACCCUGCCUCUCGAUCAAGCAGGGAUAGCCCUCAGCCCAUCUGCCCCUGAACAGGAUAAGUGGUUCAGAAAAUGGAUGGAUGAGAAGAGCACAAUGCCUAUCAAACAUUUAGAAUUCGAAAUAAAUUAUUAAUGUUAUCAAUCGAUA